GGGGGUGUUUCGGUUUCGACUGUAUCAGGAUUGGAAGGUAAGCGUACCGUAGACCGUGGCUACGUUAUAAAACGGAAAAUUUUAAAAUUAAAUGCUAAUAACAAUUACGCAUUCGCCGCUUAAUUAAAAGCGACUGUCCGCUCUCGUCAUAUCGCGGGGUGAGAAACGGGCAUCAUUUACGCGAUGAACAUUCGGUUUGCUCGGUUCGUGGCAAAUCGGAGGUCUUUAGCGAACUUUUGCGCAGGUUGCCCGCCGAUCGGCUGCUUUGCGAGGAGGUCAAAGGUCGGAUACGUACGUAGAAACCCUUUGGGUCUUAAUGCAACACGGCGGUUCAACUCCGCCCAUCUCCACCA
This 353-nucleotide transfer-messenger RNA is filed under the name Christensenellaceae. Its description in RNAcentral is "HGM11416 sp900768525 Standard tmRNA". It matches the Rfam family "transfer-messenger RNA". Rfam says of the family: Bacterial tmRNA, also known as 10Sa RNA or SsrA, is named for its dual tRNA and mRNA-like properties. Its role is to liberate the mRNA from a stalled ribosome. RNAcentral also lists the same sequence under 1 other name. Lineage: Bacteria; Bacillati; Bacillota; Clostridia; Christensenellales. The record is from RNAcentral.